Molecule: ribosomal RNA, 466 nt
Filed under: uncultured bacterium
Lineage: Bacteria
Description: partial 16S ribosomal RNA
Rfam family: Bacterial small subunit ribosomal RNA
Source: RNAcentral
CCUACGGGAGGCAGCAGUGGGGAAUUUUGGACAAUGUGCGCACGCCUGAUCCAGCUAUUCCGCGUGUGUGAUGAAGGCCCUCGGGUUGUAAACCACUUUUGUAGAGAACGAAAAGACACCUUCGAAUAAAUGGGUGUUGCUGACGGUACUCUAAGAAUAAGCACCGACUACCUACGUGCCAGCAGCCGCGGUAAUACGUAGGGUGCGAGCUUUAAUCGUAUUUAUGGGGCGUAAAGGGUGCGCCGGCGGUUGAGUAAGACAGAUGUGAAAGCCCCGAGCUUAACUCGGGAAUGGCAUAUGUGACUGCUCGACUAGAGUGUGUCAGAGGGAGGUGGAAUUCCACGUGUAGCAGUGAAAUGCGUAGAUAUGUGGAAGAACACCGAUGGCGAAGGCAGCCGCAUGGGACAUAACUGACGCUCAGGCACGAAAGCGUGGGGAGCAAACAGGAUUAGAUACCCCUGUAGUC